Molecule: long non-coding RNA, 1131 nt
Organism: Antechinus flavipes (yellow-footed antechinus)
Lineage: Eukaryota; Metazoa; Chordata; Mammalia; Dasyuromorphia; Dasyuridae
Exons: 6
Source: RefSeq, a predicted model, not a curated record
GUGAGGGUCAAAGUUAUUCUAAAGUCACGGCAGUGAGAGACAGUGCCCUCAAGAGAAAUGGAGAAGUUUAGCAAGAGAGGAGAAAGUGCAUGAGCUGACUUUUGGACAUACCGAGUUGAAGAGUGUGUUCAACACCCAAUUGGAAAAGUUCAAUAGGCAGUUAGUCAAACAGAGCUGGGAUUUAAAGGAGAGACCUGAGCUGGAUAGAUAGAACCGGGCGUGAUCUUUUUAGAGAUGAGAUCUGAACCUCUGGGAGCAGAUGAAGGCACUAAAAUGGGAUAGAGAGACCGAGGGCCCAGGAGAGAACUCUGCAGUAAAUCCACAUACAGGAGCCAAGGUGCACCUUGAAGAGACUCAAUGGUGGUUUGGGGGCUGCCCUGACGAAGGCUCCCCUAGAAGCUGUCCUUAGUCCGAACUGCAUUGUGGAACACCACUUUAACCAUGGCACUAAGAGCCCCUCGUCUGAAGUUGAGGUUUGAAGAAUAAGUUCCUUGUAAACAGGAAGGUUUAUUUGAUUUUGCUUUUGAAGUGCCAUGCAAUAUUAAAUGUAAAGCCUGGAAUGGCUUAUUCAAAUAAUUAAAAUGAUACAAUACUAAGAAGAGGAAAGCUUUCAUCAAAGGACGUGGACUCCGCUACCAAGAUCCUGGGCUCUGAUAGGAUCCUCUUCAGUAGCCUAGAAGAGCAUCCCUGAAGAACAGAACUGAAUCUAGUUCAUUUAUCCAAGUCAAUACCACAGCUUUCCAGCACCUUUAAUAAUUUCCUUCCAAGAGGAGGGAACAACAGAGGAGAUCAUGGCAAGCUCUGUCUCUACCUCCAGGCAGGACCACACCUAAACCAGCCUAGACUAUUGAUUUGUCUGCUGGCAUUAACAUCACACUCUAAACAUCCAACACCGAAGAUUCUGCCCCACCAAACCUCUUCAAAGUUUUUUGAUUUUUCACACUUAGAUCAUGUUGGAAAAAGAAAACCCCAAUGAUUCAGGUUGCCUCAUAUUUUCAGAAGAGAAAAAAAAAAAACCCAGCCCAACCCAACACCCAUACUACAAUGUAAUUUUAACCGAUAACUAAGGAUGACGCCUGUCAUGCAAAGUUAAAGCUUAUAUGAAAAAAAAAAAAGACUAAGCAAAAUCAA